UACGUAGGGUCCAAGCGUUAAUCGGAAUUACUGGGCGUAAAGCGUCCGCAGGUGGCUUGAUAAGAUAGACGUGAAAUCCCUGGGCUCAACCUAGGAAUUGCGUUUAUGACUGUCUCGCUAGAGUAUGGGAGAGGGGGGUGGAAUUCCGCGUGUAGCAGUGAAAUGCGUAGAGAUGCGGAGGAACACCGAUGGCGAAGGCAACCCCCUGGCCUAAUACUGACACUCAUGGACGAAAGCGUGGGGAGCAAACAGG
Molecule: ribosomal RNA, 253 nt
Filed under: uncultured bacterium
Lineage: Bacteria
Description: partial 16S ribosomal RNA
Rfam family: Bacterial small subunit ribosomal RNA
Source: RNAcentral